CGUAGGUGGCAAGCGUUGUCCGGAAUUAUUGGGUGUAAAGCGCGCGCAGGCGGUUCCUUAAGUCUGAUGUGAAAGCCCCCGGCUCAACCGGGGAAGGUCAUUGGAAACUGGGGAACUUGAGUGCAGAAGAGAGGAGCGGAAUUCCACGUGUAGCGGUGAAAUGCGUAGAGAUGUGGAGGAACACCAGUGGCGAAGGCGGCUCUUUGGUCUGUAACUGACGCUGAGGCGCGAAAGCGUGGGGAGCAAACAGGAUUAGAUACCCUGGUAGUCCACGCCGUAAACGAUGAGUGCUAAGUGUUAGAGGGUUUCCGCCCUUUAGUGCUGCAGCUAACGCAUUAAGCACUCCGCCUGGGGAGUACGGCCGCAAGGCUG
RNAcentral lists this ribosomal RNA (372 nucleotides) under uncultured organism. RNAcentral's name for it is "bacterial SSU rRNA". It matches the Rfam family "Bacterial small subunit ribosomal RNA", at positions 526 to 896 of the family's 1533-position model. The record is from RNAcentral.